This 404-nucleotide long non-coding RNA is filed under the name Phascolarctos cinereus (koala). Its description in RNAcentral is "lncRNA (ENSPCIG00000034355.1)". Lineage: Eukaryota; Metazoa; Chordata; Mammalia; Diprotodontia; Phascolarctidae. The record is from RNAcentral.
AUAACUAGGUGCUAAGCUCUGUAGCUUCUAUGUGCCUAAAGGAGCUGUGAGUGCCCUCUAAAUUUGGACCCUGUGGGACGAAGCUCCAGCCAUCCCACCCAAGUUAUGGCUCUGGCUGUGAUAGCUCAUGGAUUCUCAGAAAAUGACAACAGAUCUACAAAAAAGAAUUGGACUAGCAAUCCAAGGGGAGAAAAAAAACCCAAGUAUUUGCAGCUGCCUAGUGCCAUCUUCCUUCUUUCCUGAGCAUUCAAGAAAUGAAGAGAAACUGUCCAGUGAUAAUCCAUAUUACCAAAAGAGCUCAGGAUUCCCCUCUGUUAAAAAAGCGAAUUAUUCAUUAUGUGUUGACCAACAGUGACUUAAAAGGGAGGCAGGAGGAAUGAUAUGGGGAAAUAAAUUUGGUGAGA